This 87-nucleotide transfer RNA is filed under the name Candidatus Altarchaeales archaeon WOR_SM1_79. RNAcentral's name for it is "Candidatus Altiarchaeales archaeon WOR_SM1_79 tRNA-Leu". It matches the Rfam family "tRNA". Rfam says of the family: Transfer RNA (tRNA) molecules are approximately 80 nucleotides in length. Their secondary structure includes four short double-helical elements and three loops (D, anti-codon, and T loops). Further hydrogen bonds mediate the characteristic L-shaped molecular structure. tRNAs have two regions of fundamental functional importance: the anti-codon, which is responsible for specific mRNA codon recognition, and the 3' end, to which the tRNAs corresponding amino acid is attached (by aminoacyl-tRNA synthetases). tRNAs cope with the degeneracy of the genetic code in two manners: having more than one tRNA (with a specific anti-codon) for a particular amino acid; and 'wobble' base-pairing, i.e. permitting non-standard base-pairing at the 3rd anti-codon position. The record is from RNAcentral. Lineage: Archaea; Nanobdellati; Candidatus Altarchaeota; Candidatus Altarchaeia; Candidatus Altarchaeales.
GCGUGGGUGCCCGAGCGGUCGAAGGGACGAGACUCAAAAUCUCGUGACACAGGUCUAACAUCGUAGGUUCGAAUCCUACCCCACGCA